UAGUCCACGCCGUAAACGAUGGUUACUAGCUGUUCGGACUUCGGUCUGAGUGGCUAAGCGAAAGUGAUAAGUAACCCACCUGGGGAGUACGUUCGCAAGAAUGAAACUCGAAGGAAUUGACGGGGGGCCCGCACAAGCGGUGGAGCAUGUGGUUUAAUUCGAUGAUACGCGAGGAACCUUACCAGGGCUUAAAUGUAGUAUGACAGACUGAGAGAUCGGUUUUUUCUUCGGACAUAUUACAAGGUGCUGCAUGGUUGUCGUCAGCUCGUGCCGUUGAGGUGUCAGGUUAAGUCCUAUAACGAGCGCAACCCCUGUUGUUAGUUGCCAGCGAUUAAAGUCGGGAACUCUAACAAGACUGCCGGUGCAAACCGCGAGGAAGUGGGGAUGACGUCAAAUCAUCACGGCCCUUACGUCCUGGGCCACACACGUGCUACAAUGGUAGGUACAGAGAGCAGCCACGUCGCGAGGCGGAGCGAAUCUAUAAAACCUAUCUCAGUUCGGAUCGGAGUCUGC
Molecule: ribosomal RNA, 513 nt
Filed under: uncultured bacterium
Lineage: Bacteria
Description: bacterial SSU rRNA
Rfam family: Bacterial small subunit ribosomal RNA
Source: RNAcentral